Molecule: ribosomal RNA, 1433 nt
Filed under: Leptospira borgpetersenii serovar Ballum
Lineage: Bacteria; Pseudomonadati; Spirochaetota; Leptospiria; Leptospirales; Leptospiraceae
Description: partial 23S ribosomal RNA
Rfam family: Bacterial large subunit ribosomal RNA
Source: RNAcentral
AGCGGCGAGCGAACGGGGAACAGCCCAGAGCCUGAAUCAGCUUGUGUGUCAGUGGAACGGUCUGGAAAGGCCGGCGAUACAGGGUGACAGCCCCGUACACGAAGGCACACAGGCUGUGAGCUCGAUGAGUAGGGCGGGACACGUGAUAUCCUGUCUGAAGAUGGGGGGACCAUCCUCCAAGGCUAAAUACUCCUGACUGACCGAUAGUGAACCAGUACCGUGAGGGAAAGGCGAAAAGAACCCCGGCGAGGGGAGUGAAACAGAACCUGAAACCGUGUACGUACAAGCAGUGGGAGCCUUCGUAAGAGGGUGACUGCGUACCUUUUGUAUAAUGGGUCAGCGACUUAUAUUCUGUAGCAAGGUUAACCGUAUAGGGGAGCCGAAGGGAAACCGAGUCUUAACCGGGCGUUAAGUUGCAGGGUAUAGACCCGAAACCCGGUGAUCUAGCCAUGGGCAGGUUGAAGGUUGGGUAACACUAACUGGAGGACCGAACCGACUAAUGUUGAAAAAUUAGCGGAUGACCUGUGGCUGGGGGUGAAAGGCCAAUCAAACCGGGAGAUAGCUGGUUCUCCCCGAAAGCUAUUUAGGUAGCGCCUCGUGAACUCAUCUCCGGGGGUAGAGCACUGUUUCGGCUAGGGGGCCAUCCCGGCUUACCAACCCGAUGCAAACUGCGAAUACCGGAGAAUGUUAUCACGGGAGACACACGGCGGGUGCUAACGUCCGUCGUGAAGAGGGAAACAACCCAGACCGCCAGCUAAGGUCCCAAAGUCAUGGUUAAGUGGGAAACGAUGUGGGAAGGCCCAGACAGCCAGGAUGUUGGCUUAGAAGCAGCCAUCAUUUAAAGAAAGCGUAAUAGCUCACUGGUCGAGUCGGCCUGCGCGGAAGAUGUAACGGGGCUAAACCAUGCACCGAAGCUGCGGCAGCGACACUAUGUGUUGUUGGGUAGGGGAGCGUUCUGUAAGCCUGUGAAGGUGUGCUGUGAGGCAUGCUGGAGGUAUCAGAAGUGCGAAUGCUGACAUAAGUAACGAUAAAGCGGGUGAAAAGCCCGCUCGCCGGAAGACCAAGGGUUCCUGUCCAACGUUAAUCGGGGCAGGGUGAGUCGACCCCUAAGGCGAGGCCGAAAGGCGUAGUCGAUGGGAAACAGGUUAAUAUUCCUGUACUUGGUGUUACUGCGAAGGGGGGACGGAGAAGGCUAUGUCGGCCGGGCGACGGUUGUCCCGGUUUAAGCGUGUAGGCUGACUUUCCAGGCAAAUCCGGAAAGUUAAGGCUGAGGCGUGAUGACGAGGCACCACGGUGCUGAAGUGACAAAUGCCCUGCUUCCAGGAAAAGCCUCUAAGCAUCAGGUAACAUCAAAUCGUACACGAAACCGACACAGGUGGUCAGGUAGAGUAAACAAAGGCGCUUGAGAGCACUCGGGUGAGGGAACCAGGCAA